UACGGAAGGUGCAAGCAUUAAUCGGAAUUAUUGGGCGUAAAGGGCGCGUAGGCGGCUAGGCAAGUCUGAUGUGAAAUUCCAAAGCUCAACUUUGGAGCUGCAUUAGAAACUGCUUGGCUAGAGGGAUGGCGGAGAAAAUGGAAUUCCACGUGUAGCGGUGAAAUGCGCAGAUAUGUGGAAGAACACCGGUGGCGAAAGCGGUUUUCUAGCUUUUACCUGACGCUGAGGCGCGAGAGCAAGGGGAGCAAACAGG
Molecule: ribosomal RNA, 253 nt
Filed under: uncultured bacterium
Lineage: Bacteria
Description: partial 16S ribosomal RNA
Rfam family: Bacterial small subunit ribosomal RNA
Source: RNAcentral